This 1091-nucleotide long non-coding RNA is filed under the name Canis lupus familiaris (dog). RNAcentral's name for it is "lncRNA (ENSCAFG00000034082.3)". Lineage: Eukaryota; Metazoa; Chordata; Mammalia; Carnivora; Canidae. The record is from RNAcentral.
ACUAUUUUGAGUUCUCUUUUUAUGCUCCCUCCUAGGCUUGAGCAAGUUGGUGAAGUGUUAAAAAGCUGAUAGCAGGGAUCUCAAAGAGAUGAAGAAUUAGUCUGGAUUCACAGAUCGAACUGCCAACCUCUGGCUGACUGAGAGCUGGUUGGAUUUGCAAGCUUGGUUUUCUAAGGAAAUACCUCUUACGAUAUUGUCCAAAGUCUCUCCCGGUUCACUUGUUUCAGCUCUGAUGGGCGGCAUGCAAGAAAAAAGGAGAAUCUAUUACAAUCCAAACAUCAGCCCCCAAAUCUGAAAUUUAGGACUGUUCUUUAUGGAGAUUGAGACUGCAUUGUUCCUCUCAACACCAGCUGAGAAUCUCCACACUGAAGAACAGCCCAGGAGCCCAUCUGGCUUGCAAGAAUUCUUCCUUCUUAGAUGCCAGAGGCAGCAGUUGUGAUUCCUAACAUGGGCAUGGCUUUACUGUGGCAUUCUAUCACCAGUGAGAUUGAUGGCAUGAGGUAUUUCUGCAAGCGCGUGCAAGCUCAUGCGUCAUCCAGGGAUCCCGGGAUGCCUGUUUCUGCACAAUCUGCCUGUCAUCUCUUAUGGGACCUUCACACAUCAGUGGCACCGAUUAUCUCACGUCACAGCCCAUCAGUUGGCUGAACUCCAGAAGAAUGUGAAAUUGUCUAACAAGCCUCCAAAUGUGAAUGGCUCCAUGUUGGCCUAAUCACACAUAAUGUUCGCCUUUGUCAUCCGUUCCCAAAGAGUGGCUGCAGUGCUCAUCUGUUAGACAAAUACAAUUUCUAGAGCUCUUCGCCAUGCCUGUUGUAAGGGUUUUUUUUUUUUUUUUUUUUUAAUCCCCAUUCCCUUCUUCCGGGGGUGAAUUCCAUUCAUUCUUCUGACUACACUCUGCUGUGCCCUUCUUCCCAUCCUAUAAUCAUGACUUCUUUCCAUGGCCUCAUUCCUUAAAAUUGAUCUAGGUAAUUGCCAAAAUUGUUUUAAGCACAGGCUUUUAACUGUGUUUGGAGCAACAAAGCAUACUGAGACACGAACAUCAACAUGGAAUAAUUCAUAUGUCCACGUAUAUAUAUGUCCAAUAAAUGUUGCCA